Molecule: ribosomal RNA, 925 nt
Filed under: uncultured fungus
Lineage: Eukaryota; Fungi
Description: eukaryotic LSU rRNA
Rfam family: Eukaryotic large subunit ribosomal RNA (bases 275-925)
Source: RNAcentral
AUCGAUGAAGAACGCAGCGAAAUGCGAUAAGUAAUGUGAAUUGCAGAAUUCAGUGAAUCAUCGAAUCUUUGAACGCACAUUGCGCCCUCUGGUAUUCCGGGGGGCAUGCCUGUUCGAGCGUCAUUACAACCCUCACGCCUGGCGUGGUAUUGGGCUCGCCCUGUAGGGCCUGCCUCAAAGUCAGUGGCGGCACCGUUUGACCCCUAAGCGUAGUAAUACUCGUCGCUUCUGGUGUCGUGCGGAGGCCUGCCAGCAACCCCCAUUUUUUAAAGGUUGACCUCGGAUCAGGUAGGGAUACCCGCUGAACUUAAGCAUAUCAAUAAGCGGAGGAAAAGAAACCAACAGGGAUUGCCUCAGUAACGGCGAGUGAAGCGGCAACAGCUCAAAUUUGAAAGCUGGCUUACGCCCGCGUUGUAAUUUGUAGAGGAUGCUUCGGGCGCGGCGCCGGUCUAAGUUCUUUGGAACAAGACGUCAUAGAGGGUGAGAAUCCCGUAUGUGACUGGUUGCCUGUACUCAUGUGAAGCUCCUUCGACGAGUCGAGUUGUUUGGGAAUGCAGCUCUAAAUGGGUGGUGUACUUCAUCUAAAGCUAAAUAUUGGCCAGAGACCGAUAGCGCACAAGUAGAGUGAUCGAAAGAUGAAAAGCACUUUGGAAAGAGAGUUAAACAGUACGUGAAAUUGUUGAAAGGGAAGCGCUUGCAAUCAGACUUGCACGGCGUCGAUCAGCCUGGGUUCUCCCUGGUGCACUCGGCGCUGUUCAGGCCAGCAUCAGUUUCGGCGGUUGGAUAAAGGCCUAGGGAACGUGGGUCGCCUCGGCGACCGUUAUAGCCCUAGGUGCAAUGCAGCCUGCUGGGACUGAGGACCGCGCUUCGGCUAGGAUGCUGGCGUAAUGGUUGUAAGCGACCCGUCUUGAAACACGGAAGGGCG